UACGAAGGGUGCUAGCGUUGUUCGGAAUCACUGGGCGUAAAGCGCGCGUAGGCGGCUUGUCAAGUCAGGGGUGAAAUCCUGAGGCUUAACCUCAGAAUUGCCUUUGAAACUAGCAGGCUGGAGUGUCGGAGGGGAUAGCGGAAUUCCUAAUGUAGAGGUGAAAUUCGUAGAUAUUAGGAGGAACACCGGUGGCGAAGGCGGCUUUCCGGACUAGCACUGACGCUGAGGCGCGAAAGCUAGGGGAGCGAACGGG
RNAcentral lists this ribosomal RNA (253 nucleotides) under uncultured bacterium. Its description in RNAcentral is "partial 16S ribosomal RNA". It matches the Rfam family "Bacterial small subunit ribosomal RNA", at positions 524 to 776 of the family's 1533-position model. The record is from RNAcentral.